This 440-nucleotide ribosomal RNA is filed under the name uncultured bacterium. RNAcentral describes it as "partial 16S ribosomal RNA". It matches the Rfam family "Bacterial small subunit ribosomal RNA", at positions 338 to 795 of the family's 1533-position model. The record is from RNAcentral.
CCUACGGGCGGCAGCAGUAGGGAAUAUUGCUCAAUGGGGGCAACUCUGAAGCAGCAACGCCGCGUGGAGGAUGACGGUUUUCGGAUUGUAAACUUCUUUUGUUAGAGAAGAUAAUGACGGUAUCUAACGAUUAUGCCCCGGCUAACUUCGUGCCAGCAGCCGCGGUAAUACGGAGGGUGCCAGCGUUAUUCGGAAUCACUGGGCGUAAAGAGCGCGUAGGCGGGAUAGCAAGUCAGAUGUGAAAUCCUAUGGCUUAACCAUAGAACUGCAGUUGAAACUGUGAUGCUAGAGUCUGGGAGAGGUAGGUGGAAUUCUUGGUGUAGGGGUAAAAUCCGUAGAGAUCAAGAGGAAUACUCAUUGCGAAGGCGACCUGCUGGAACAUAACUGACGCUGAUGCGCGAAGGCGUGGGGAGCAAACAGGAUUAGAUACCCCAGUAGUC